RNAcentral lists this ribosomal RNA (44 nucleotides) under Cladosporium cladosporioides. RNAcentral describes it as "partial 28S ribosomal RNA". Lineage: Eukaryota; Fungi; Ascomycota; Dothideomycetes; Cladosporiales; Cladosporiaceae. The record is from RNAcentral.
GUUGACCUCGGACCAGGUAGGGAUACCCGCUGAACUUAAGCAUA